GUGAAUCAUCGAAUCUUUGAACGCAAAUUGCACUCUCUUCGGAGAGUAUGCCGGUUUGAGUGUCAGCCUCAAAAAAAUCGACAUAGUUGCUGUGACGUGGUAACAUUCUUCCGAAAUUGCGUCAUCUUAAACCUUUGGGUUUAAGCGACUUAACAUUUUCUUUUCGAUUCCCAGAACGUUUCUAAGAUUUUAUUUACUUAUACGUUUAAGGUAUCGAUCUUUAUUAGACGUUGACGUUGCAUCGGAUCUGGAC
Molecule: unclassified non-coding RNA, 253 nt
Filed under: Glomus sp.
Lineage: Eukaryota; Fungi; Glomeromycota; Glomeromycetes; Glomerales; Glomeraceae
Description: partial contains 5.8S ribosomal RNA and internal transcribed spacer 2
Rfam family: 5.8S ribosomal RNA (bases 1-65)
Source: RNAcentral